Molecule: ribosomal RNA, 722 nt
Filed under: Trematoda environmental sample
Lineage: Eukaryota; Metazoa; Platyhelminthes; Trematoda
Description: SSU rRNA
Rfam family: Eukaryotic small subunit ribosomal RNA
Source: RNAcentral
UCCUUGGAUCGUAAAUACUACAUGGAUAACUGUAGUAAUUCUAGAGCUAAUACAUGCCACUAUGCCCUAUUUUGGGUGGAUUUAUUAGUACAGAACCAACCGGAUGCAGUUAUGCUGUGUCUGUUACGCUCUGUGAUGACUCUGGAUAACUUUACUGAUCGCAGUCGGCCUUGUGUCGGCGACGGAUCUUUCAAAUGUCUGCCCUAUCAAUUGUCGAUGGUAGGUGACCUGCCUACCAUGGUGAUAACGGGUAACGGGGAAUCAGGGUUCGAUUCCGGAGAGGGAGCCUGAGAAACGGCUACCACUUCUAAGGAAGGCAGCAGGCACGCAAAUUACCCAAUCCCGGCACGGGGAGGUAGUGACGAAAAAUACGGAAACGGGACUCAUUAGAGGCUCCGUUAUUCGAAUGAGUACAAUUUAAAUCCUUUAACGAGGAUCAACUGGAGGGCAAGUCUGGUGCCAGCAGCCGCGGUAACUCCAGCUCCAGAAGCGUAUAUUAAAGUUGUUGCAGUUAAAAAGCUCGUAGUUGGAUCUGGGUCGCAUGGCUACAUGCUGUUGCUUAUAUUCUCAGCCUGGUUACGAUCGGGUUGGGUUUAUGGCUGGGCGUAGUGGUUGUGCAGCCUUUCUGCCGUGUCUGUUUCGCAGGUGCUGGUUGGUCGGUUUCGGUCGGCUAGCAUGCUUCCAGAUGCCUUUAAACGGGUGUCGGGAGCGGACGGCAUGUU